UACGUAGGGUGCGAGCGUUGUCCGGAAUUAUUGGGCGUAAAGAGCUCGUAGGCGGUCUGUCGCGUCGAUCGUGAAAACUUGGGGCUUAACCCUGAGCUUGCGGUCGAUACGGGCAGACUAGAGUGCGGUAGGGGAGACUGGAAUUCCUGGUGUAGCGGUGAAAUGCGCAGAUAUCAGGAGGAACACCGGUGGCGAAGGCGGGUCUCUGGGCCGUAACUGACGCUGAGGAGCGAAAGCGUGGGGAGCGAACAGG
Molecule: ribosomal RNA, 253 nt
Filed under: uncultured bacterium
Lineage: Bacteria
Description: partial 16S ribosomal RNA
Rfam family: Bacterial small subunit ribosomal RNA
Source: RNAcentral